AUGGAGAGCAGGGGUGGACAGUGGGAAGCGGUGGGGAGAAGCGAGCGGCAGCCGGCAGGGAGAGCCACGACGGGGUGGGCAGUGGGAAGCGGUGGGGAGAAGCGAGCGCCUGCCGGCAGGGAGAGCCACGACGAUGGUCGGCGUCAGCUGCCACUUCCUCCCCCCGCCGGCGCCGCGAGGCCGCCGAGCCCGCGCCCGAGCUUCCCGUCCGUGAGCGGUCACUCUGCCCACCGGCCGUCCCUCGUCUGUGUGCUUCUUCUCGGGAUGCUGACGCCAUGGAGCUCAUCAGCUCCCUCUCUGCUGCAGGAGGAUUGGAUCGGAUUGGUUUCUACAUGCUCUAUUAUCUGUUUGAGAACUGAGUUGCGGCCCUCCAAAUCUUCAGCCCCAGAAGGAGGAUUUGAGAGUGGAGAAGGGUCAACUGAAUGUGAUUUGGAGGAAGGAGUUGUCCAGGAAUCAAAAUGUUAUUAUUCUACUAUUCUGCAGGGGAGAAUCUAA
Molecule: ribosomal RNA, 495 nt
Filed under: Triticum aestivum (bread wheat)
Lineage: Eukaryota; Viridiplantae; Streptophyta; Magnoliopsida; Poales; Poaceae
Description: partial small subunit ribosomal RNA
Source: RNAcentral